GAUGAACGCUGGCGGCGUGCCUAAUACAUGCAAGUCGAGCGAACAGACGAGGAGCUUGCUCCUCUGACGUUAGCGGCGGACGGGUGAGUAACACGUGGAUAACCUACCUAUAAGACUGGGAUAACUUCGGGAAACCGGAGCUAAUACCGGAUAAUAUAUUGAACCGCAUGGUUCAAUAGUGAAAGACGGUUUUGCUGUCACUUAUAGAUGGAUCCGCGCCGCAUUAGCUAGUUGGUAAGGUAACGGCUUACCAAGGCGACGAUGCGUAGCCGACCUGAGAGGGUGAUCGGCCACACUGGAACUGAGACACGGUCCAGACUCCUACGGGAGGCAGCAGUAGGGAAUCUUCCGCAAGGGGCGAAAGCCUGACGGAGCAACGCCGCGUGAGUGAUGAAGGUCUUCGGAUCGUAAAACUCUGUUAUUAGGGAAGAACAAAUGUGUAAGUAACUAUGCACGUCUUGACGGUACCUAAUCAGAAAGCCACGGCUAACUACGUGC
This 498-nucleotide ribosomal RNA is filed under the name uncultured bacterium. RNAcentral's name for it is "partial 16S ribosomal RNA". It matches the Rfam family "Bacterial small subunit ribosomal RNA", at positions 28 to 508 of the family's 1533-position model. The record is from RNAcentral.